AGCGAACGCUGGCGGCAGGCCUAACACAUGCAAGUCGAACGAACUCUUCGGAGUUAGUGGCGGACGGGUGAGUAACACGUGGGAACGUGCCUUUUGGUUCGGAAUAACUCAGGGAAACUUGUGCUAAUACCGAAUGUGCCCUUCGGGGGAAAGAUUUAUCGCCAUUAGAGCGGCCCGCGUCUGAUUAGCUAGUUGGUGAGGUAACGGCUCACCAAGGCGACGAUCAGUAGCUGGUCUGAGAGGAUGACCAGCCACACUGGGACUGAGACACGGCCCAGAAUCCUACGGGAGGCAGCAGUGGGGAAUCUUGCGCAAUGGGCGAAAGCCUGACGCAGCCAUGCCGCGUGAAUGAUGAAGGUCGUAGGAUUGUAAAAUUCUUUCACCGGGGACGAUAAUGACGGUACCCGGAGAAGAAGCCCCGGCUAACUUCGUG
RNAcentral lists this ribosomal RNA (433 nucleotides) under uncultured bacterium. Its description in RNAcentral is "partial 16S ribosomal RNA". It matches the Rfam family "Bacterial small subunit ribosomal RNA", at positions 29 to 507 of the family's 1533-position model. The record is from RNAcentral.